RNAcentral lists this transfer RNA (75 nucleotides) under Butyrivibrio fibrisolvens. Its description in RNAcentral is "tRNA_Gln_TTG". It matches the Rfam family "tRNA". From Rfam's summary of the family: Transfer RNA (tRNA) molecules are approximately 80 nucleotides in length. RNAcentral also lists the same sequence under 1 other name. Lineage: Bacteria; Bacillati; Bacillota; Clostridia; Lachnospirales; Lachnospiraceae. The record is from RNAcentral.
UGGGCUAUCGCCAAGCGGUAAGGCACAGCACUUUGACUGCUGCAUUCACCAGUUCGAAUCUGGUUAGCCCAGCUA